RNAcentral lists this ribosomal RNA (254 nucleotides) under uncultured bacterium. Its description in RNAcentral is "partial 16S ribosomal RNA". It matches the Rfam family "Bacterial small subunit ribosomal RNA", at positions 524 to 776 of the family's 1533-position model. The record is from RNAcentral.
UACGUAGGGGGCGAGCGUUGUCCGGAAUCAUUGGGCGUAAAGAGCUCGUAGGCGGUUCAGUAAGUCAGGUGUGAAAGCUCCGAGCUCAACUCGGAGAGGCCACCUGAUACUGCUGUGACUAGAAUCCAGUAGGGGAGUGUGGAACUCCUGGUGUAGCGGUGAAAUGCGCAGAUAUCAGGAAGAACACCAGCGGCGAAGGCGGCACUCUGGGCUGGAAUUGACGCUGAGGAGCGAAAGUGUGGGGAUCAAACAGG